Paramuricea clavata is the source of this 228-nucleotide non-coding RNA. The record is from the annotation of a GenBank genome assembly. NCBI's taxonomy places the organism in Eukaryota, Metazoa, Cnidaria, Anthozoa, Malacalcyonacea, Plexauridae.
CUAAAGAUGGCGGCACCAAUAUUAAUUUGAACGGAAAUCCACUAUAGCUAUAGUAUGUAAAUCAGGUCAGUAUUUAAAGGCUAUAUACUAAAGGCUUUUAGAAUGCGAUUUGUUUGAGGUAAUAAUCAGCAAAGUGAGGAUACCAGAAGUUUAUGAUGCAGCAGAGAAAUGAAAGCGUGACUCAUGAGCUCAAUCGUGAGAGGAAAGCUGAAAGAGAGUCGUAUGAAU